RNAcentral lists this ribosomal RNA (377 nucleotides) under uncultured bacterium. RNAcentral's name for it is "bacterial SSU rRNA". It matches the Rfam family "Bacterial small subunit ribosomal RNA", at positions 521 to 896 of the family's 1533-position model. The record is from RNAcentral.
UAAGACAGAGGGUGCAAACGUUGUUCGGAAUUACUGGGCGUAAAGCGUGCGCAGGCGGCCUUGCAAGUCGGGCGUGAAAUCCCACGGCUCAACCGUGGAAGUGCACUCGAAACUGCUCGGCUAGAGUCUUGGAGAGGAAGGCGGAAUGCUUGGUGUAGAGGUGAAAUUCGUAGAUAUCAAGCGGAACACCGGUGGCGAAGGCGGCCUUCUGGACAAUGACUGACGCUAAAACACGAAAGCGUGGGGAGCAAACAGGAUUAGAUACCCUGGUAGUCCACGCCGUAAACGAUGAGUGCUAGGUGUCACGGGCUUUGACCCUCGUGGUGCCGAAGCUAACGCGUUAAGCACUCCGCCUGGGGAGUACGGCCGCAAGGCUA